Molecule: unclassified non-coding RNA, 321 nt
Filed under: uncultured fungus
Lineage: Eukaryota; Fungi
Description: partial contains small subunit ribosomal RNA, internal transcribed spacer 1, and 5.8S ribosomal RNA
Rfam family: Eukaryotic small subunit ribosomal RNA (bases 1-73)
Source: RNAcentral
UCAAACUUGGUCAUUUAGAGGAAGUAAAAGUCGUAACAAGGUUUCCGUAGGUGAACCUGCGGAAGGAUCAUUAGCGAGUUUUGAGGCCCGGGGUAACAGCCGGGCGAACUCCCGUCCUCAUGUCAUGCUGUGAAUUGAAUGGCUUCGGCGGAAGCGUCGGGCCGCGACGUGGAGGGGGCACUGCGCUCCCCGCGUGGCGGCGCGACCGCCGCCGGUCUUACGGCAAGCACGAAUCGUGAUUGUGAGGUCUGAGUUUUGGAAAAUAAGCGAAAAACUUUCAACAACGGAUCUCUUGGCUCUGGCAUCGAUGAAGAACGCAGC